CCCCGCCCGCCGCCUCAAUCCGCAGCCCCCAAACGUUCGUCCUCACCGAACGCCCGCCCGAGACCGGAACCGGAAGCGCGGGCGGCGCCGUGGAUGGAGCGGGCGUUCUUAGCGACACGAAAAGCAUCCGUGGAGCUCAAGUUUGAUGUGAAACCAGGCUCAGGGUCCACCUGUCCUCGCUGAUCCAUGGAUUUCUGUGUGACCAGGUCCCAGGCUGGACAGAGAGUGACUCUACUGGGAGCUGAGCCAUGAGACUCAGCGCGUCACCUACCUGGGCUCCUUCACCCUGGACUGGGACAGCCUCUACUUCAGUGGUUACACCUAUGGAGCCGUGGCCCCAACUACCACCAGUGAGUAUUCCUGGCCCUGGUCUCCUGUGUCCCGUCUGCAUUUGUAGUUUGGGAGCACUUGUUCUCUUUCAUCUG
Molecule: long non-coding RNA, 425 nt
Organism: Diceros bicornis minor
Lineage: Eukaryota; Metazoa; Chordata; Mammalia; Perissodactyla; Rhinocerotidae
Exons: 4
Source: RefSeq, a predicted model, not a curated record